GAGCGACCCUGCACGUCGCCUGGCUCGGGGACUCCCAGGUCAUUUUGGUACAGCAGGGACAGGUGGUGAAGCUGAUGGAGCCACACAGACCAGAACGGCAGGAUGAGAAGGCGCGCAUUGAAGCAUUGGGUGGCUUUGUGUCUCACAUGGACUGCUGGAGAGUCAACGGGACCCUGGCCGUCUCCAGAGCCAUCGCUAUUCAGAAGGCUGAGGCAGGAGAAUCGCUUGAACCCAGAAGGCGGAGGUUGCAGUGAGCUGAGAUUGCGCCACUCCACUCCAGCCUGGAUAACAAGGAAACUAAAAAAUAAUAAUAAUAAUAAAUAAAAAUUUUAAAAAGUAA
Molecule: small RNA, 340 nt
Filed under: Pongo abelii (Sumatran orangutan)
Lineage: Eukaryota; Metazoa; Chordata; Mammalia; Primates; Hominidae
Description: processed transcript
Source: RNAcentral